CCGGAGGAUAAAAGCUCCACCAUCGCCAUACUUUUUUCAUUUUCCGAUUGGCUUGAUCUUCUGAAAAUGGCUGCUGAAACAAAUGAAUGUGGUGGCAUUCUUGAUGCUGCUACAAGAAAAUUCAAUUGAACGAAAAUUAUAAUACAAUGCUGUAGUGCAUUGAUUAUGGAAAUUUAAGUAUGAAUUUAUUCAACUAGAGAUGAAGACAAUGGUCAUCACCAGAGAACAUCUUCCUCCCAUGUAUAAUUCAAGAUGUGGAGUUAAUAUGGGCGAAGAAAGGAAAUGAAGCUGAUUAUAUUUUAAUAUAGUUCUGGUUAAUUUUGGAAUAUCCAUGUUAAAUGGAUGAUGGAGCUGCAGCUGUUAAAUAUUUCAGAUAUUUCAACAACAAACUCCAA
Nicrophorus vespilloides is the source of this 395-nucleotide long non-coding RNA. RefSeq lists it as uncharacterized. Lineage: Eukaryota; Metazoa; Arthropoda; Insecta; Coleoptera; Silphidae. The transcript has 5 exons. The record is from RefSeq and is a predicted model, not a curated record.